RNAcentral lists this long non-coding RNA (664 nucleotides) under Elaeis guineensis (African oil palm). RNAcentral describes it as "long non-coding RNA (EGUI_LNC044755)". Lineage: Eukaryota; Viridiplantae; Streptophyta; Magnoliopsida; Arecales; Arecaceae. The record is from RNAcentral.
GGAGGUUGCGGUGGCGGCGGCGGUGGUGGUGGUGGAGUUGAAUGCAGUAAUGGAUGCAUGAUGAGAUUAUUAUUAUUAUUAUUAUUUCCCUUGCUGUGUUGAAUGCGAGCUCAGGGGGUUGGUGAUGUUUGUUUAAAUAUUUAACUUCUGAUCGAGUCAGAGGUACGUGCCUGACGAGUCAAGUUUACCAUGUUUCCGAUUUUACUGUGCUUCAACAGUGAGUUGAUCUCUAUCUUUUAAAGCAGAAGAGUAUGCUUGGCUAAUAUAAAUUUUAGAAUGAAUUCAUCUAUGGGGAAAAUGAUAUUAAAGCAGGAGGGCAGUCGAGGCAGGUGAGAUCAGAUUUUGGUCGGAUCAAAUGUAAAAAAGAUAAAAAAUUUAUUUUUAUUAAAAAAAAAGAUAAAAAUUGGAAAAGGAUGAUUCGACGCAUUUAUCUCUUCUGGAUAUGAUCAUAGGGCCCCAAUCCUCGAGAAUGUUCGAUUCGAGAUUGAAUUUGGAUGAAUAGACGGCCUCCUUCCCACCAUAUAAAUAAACUCAACAUACGUCACUCCAGUACCAUCGAGGACCAACGGAUCAGGUGUCGUUUUUAAACGUCAUGCUUAUACUUGAUUAAUAUAAAUUUUAGAAUAAAUUCAUCUCUAGACAAAAUGAUAUUAAAGCAGGAGGG